GGUCAUUUGUUGACAUAAAUGUACACAGUGACGCAAAGGAUGAGAAUAAAUAUUAUAUAUAUGGAAUCUUGUCAAGCUUACAGGAAACGGACACAAGUUCAGUGUGAAACGUUAACAGUAAUUCUAAUAGAUUUUAUGUCAUUUUUCUGAAACAUUUAAUUUCCGCAAUAGACAGUUAUACAUGUUAUAGAAAGAAAAGUGACGAC
Molecule: long non-coding RNA, 206 nt
Filed under: Mytilus galloprovincialis (Mediterranean mussel)
Lineage: Eukaryota; Metazoa; Mollusca; Bivalvia; Mytilida; Mytilidae
Source: RNAcentral